This 856-nucleotide ribosomal RNA is filed under the name uncultured bacterium. RNAcentral describes it as "bacterial SSU rRNA". It matches the Rfam family "Bacterial small subunit ribosomal RNA", at positions 28 to 896 of the family's 1533-position model. The record is from RNAcentral.
AAUGAACGUUGGCGGCGUGGAUUAGGCAUGCAAGUCGUGCGAGAACCGUAGCAAUACGGGGACAGCGGCGUAAGGGAGAGGAAUACGUGGAUACGUACCCUCGGGCCCAGGAUAGCUGCGGGAAACUGCAGGUAAUACUGGAUAACAUCUCCGGAUCAAAGGUGUGAUUCCGCCCGAGGAGCGGUCCGCGUCCUAUUAGCUAGUUGGUGAGGUAACGGCCCACCAAGGCGAAGAUGGGUAUGGGGCGUGAGAGCGUGCCCCCACUCACUGGGACUGAGACACUGCCCAGACACCUACGGGUGGCUGCAGUCGAGAAUCUUCGGCAAUGGGGGAAACCCUGACCGAGCGACGCCGCGUGCGGGAUGAAGGCCUUCGGGUUGUAAACCGCUGUCAGAGGGGAGGAAGUGCUGGUGGGUUCUCCCAUCAGUUUGACCUAUCCUCAGAGGAAGGACGGGCUAAGUUCGUGCCAGCAGCCGCGGUAAGACGAACCGUCCAAACGUUAUUCGGAAUCACUGGGCUUAAAGGGUGCGUAGGCGUCCCGGGAAGUUGGGUGUGAAAGCCCUCGGCUCAACCGAGGAACUGCGCCCAAAACUGCCGGGCUCGAGGGAGACAUAGGUGAGCGGAACUUAGGGUGGAGCGGUGAAAUGCGUUGAGAUCCUAAGGAACACCAGUAGGGAAAGCGGCUCACUGGUUCUCUUCAGACGUUGAUGCACGAAAGCUAGGGGAGCGAAGAGGAUUAGAUACCCUCGUAGUCCUAGCUGUAAACGAUGAGCACUGGUUUGGAGGGUCCUCCAUAGCCUUCCAGACGUAGCGAAAGUGUUAAGUGCUCCGCCUGGGGAGUAUGGUCGCAAGGCUG